UACGUAGGUGGCAAGCGUUGUCCGGAUUUACUGGGCGUAAAGCGAACGCAGGCUGGAAAAUAAGUUUGAAGUGAAAGGUUGGAGCUCAACUCCGACACGGCUUUGGAAACUGUUUUUCUUGAGUACUGGAGAGGAAAGCGGAACGACACGUGUAGCGGUGAAAUGCGUUGAUAUGUGUCGGAACACCGAUGGCGAAAGCAGCUUUCUGGACAGAGACUGACGCUGAGGUUCGAAAGCCAAGGGAGCGAACAGG
Molecule: ribosomal RNA, 253 nt
Filed under: uncultured bacterium
Lineage: Bacteria
Description: partial 16S ribosomal RNA
Rfam family: Bacterial small subunit ribosomal RNA
Source: RNAcentral